GGGUUAACGUCCCGUAACGAGCGCCAACCCUUGUCCUUAUUUGCCAGCGAGUAAAGUCGGGAACUCUAAGGAGACUGCCGGUGACAAACCGGAGGAAGGUGGGGACGACGUCAAGUCAUCAUGGCCCUUACGGGUAGGGCUACACACGUGCUACAAUGGCCAGUACAAAGGGUUGCCAACUCGCGAGAGUGCGCUAAUCCCAUAAAGCUGGUCUCAGUCCGGAUCGGAGUCUGCAACUCGACUCCGUGAAGUCGGAAUCGCUAGUAAUCGUGAAUCAGAAUGUCACGGUGGAUACGUUCCCGGGCCUU
RNAcentral lists this ribosomal RNA (308 nucleotides) under uncultured Halomonas sp. Its description in RNAcentral is "bacterial SSU rRNA". It matches the Rfam family "Bacterial small subunit ribosomal RNA", at positions 1077 to 1382 of the family's 1533-position model. The record is from RNAcentral. Lineage: Bacteria; Pseudomonadati; Pseudomonadota; Gammaproteobacteria; Oceanospirillales; Halomonadaceae.